This 1876-nucleotide long non-coding RNA is filed under the name Sus scrofa (pig). RNAcentral describes it as "lncRNA (ENSSSCG00070011651.1)". The stretch from base 1365 to 1456 matches the Rfam family "Small nucleolar RNA SNORD116". The record is from RNAcentral. Lineage: Eukaryota; Metazoa; Chordata; Mammalia; Artiodactyla; Suidae.
GAGCCGUGUCUCCCGGCCGACUUGGGUGUCCCGGUUGGUGUGUGGUCGGGCCUGGGACGGGCGUGGUGCGGCGGGAACCGCCGGGUAGCGACCACGUCUCGUCAGGGGGUUCGUGCCUGCUGCUGGGCACGGGAACGGCUCCGGGGGGGUCUUACGGGCGCUGAGGGGAUUCCGCAUCAUGGAGAGGUCAAGGGGAGUUGGUGGCCGUCACCCUUCGUCAGGGCAGGGUAGCCUCAGUGCUCCCGUGCUGGGGUUCCUGGAGAGCCGGCUGGCACGGACAGACUCUUGUGAGGGCAAGUGGCUGAUCGUGCGUCGGAUGGGUCCAGCAAAGGAGAGAAAGCUUCGGUGCGCGCGCGCUCGCCAGGGAAAGGGUGACAGCGGGUGGGACCGAGAGGGAGAGAGAGAGAGGGAGAGAACAAAGGAAGAGAGAGGGUUUCCGCAGGGGCGGUGAGUCCUGGCGGAAGUCCUGAGGCAGAGGAGGUGCCAGGGGUUUGGGUUUCCCGGUCGUGUCGGGGGUGUGGCGCAGGUUGCCCCAGUGGGCCUGAAUGUGCCUCCGUGGGGCACCUUGUUGCCGUGUUGGGGGGCGGGGAGCCGGCCUUGGGGAUCCAUCUUUCGGGCCCUGGGACGUGGGAGAAGAAUGCCGGGGCCUCUCUCUGUGCCCCUGGCACGCCUCUGUGCAGGCCGGGCCUGCACCCCCCCCCAGGCAGGGUCCGUGUGGCUGCAGACACCCAGAGAGAGGGGAGGCUGGGGAGGCUGGGGAGCCGUGGCAGCCCGAUGCAGUGCGGGUCUCCAGGUGGAGGGGCCCUGGUCCCCUGGCGCCAGCGUGGCCCUUCCUCCUUGUGGAAACCCUUGUGGUGUGUGUGCUCUCUCGCCCUGACCCAGGAGAGCAGCAUGGCGGACCCCUGAUCUUGUGGCGUGCCACCGCGCGAGGCCGAGGAGCUCCCGCAGACCAGUGGGCGUGGCGUCCUUGUCGCGGCUCUGUGGAGACCUGGCGAUGGAGAGCAGCAUGGCGGACCCCUGAUCUUGUGGCGUGCCACCGCGCGAGGCCGAGGAGCUCCCGCAGCCCAGUGGGCGUGGCGUCCUUGUCGCGGCUCUGUGGAGACCUGGCGAUGGUGAGCGGCCCCUGUCCUCAGUGGUGGAGAACUCGCCCUUGGGGCGCUCGUCUGUCCGGAGCCCCGGGCCACCCCCGCUUCUCGCGGGCUUUGGCCCCGGCAGGCCAGCUCCGGGGGCGUGAGGGGGAGCGUCCCGUCCUGCCCAGUGGCUCGUCUGUCUGGGCACGCCCCCAAACGCUGCCGUGAUGGAGCGGGUGGGAUGUCCAGGUGCGGAGGCCGUGAAUUUGCCUUGCGGCGGCGGAGCCCGUGCUCGGAUCGAUGAUGACUCCCUCUAAAGCAUUCCUUGGAAAUCUGAACAAAAUGAGUGAGAACUCACUACCGUCUCCUCAUCGAAACUGAGGUCCGGCACGUGGCGGCCACCGGGGGCUCGGGGGUAGAUGGGCCCUUGGCCUUGGGGCCUCUGGGUGUCAGCAGCCACUCGGGUGAGGUCUGGGGAAGGCGGCCGCCUGCCGGGCCCAGGAAGCAUGGGGCCCGUCGCCCGGCGCUGGCCUCGGGGGAGAGGCCGCGUGCCCGAGCGUGCUGGAGAUCCCGGGCGGCCUCCCGCCGGCCUUGGGGGGUUUCGCAAGCCGUCGCGGGGGCCGAAAUUUGGGCCCGGCCGCGAGGCAAGUGUGCGGCCCUAGGGCCCCAGGGGGCGUCCUGGCCCAGGCCGGGCGCCCUUCUCAGGAUGCUGUGGGGAGACGGGAUCCCGGCAGGGUAGUGUUCUCUUUCUGCUCUGGGGACCCCUGAGGGCCACCUGCUGCAGGGGGUCUGUGGUAGCGGGGCCC